GGUUUGGUGGUCAUAGCGCAAGCAAAACACCCGGUCCCAUCCCGAACCCGGAAGUUAAGUGCUGCAGCGCCAAUGGUACUUGGGCUCAAGCCCCGGGAGAGUAGGUCACCGCCAAACCU
RNAcentral lists this ribosomal RNA (119 nucleotides) under Ruegeria lacuscaerulensis. The record is from RNAcentral. Lineage: Bacteria; Pseudomonadati; Pseudomonadota; Alphaproteobacteria; Rhodobacterales; Roseobacteraceae.